UCAGAAACCCUAGUAUGCUUCCUAUAAAUUAAGAACGCGAGAUCCAUCCUUAACAGUCACAGCAACAUUCUGCAUCUGGGCAACCGGCGACGCUACCUUAUCGCGUUACAUUUUCUUUCCGUUCUGUUUCUUAUUAACGUCUUAGCUAUGGAUCGUAUAAGAUCACGGUGAUGACUCCAUAAAAUUCAAGCUCAACAGACCGGAAUGCAGAGCUUUCUCUCUUUGUGGAGAUUGCCAUGCGUGUCGAUUACCCCGCUGAACUGAGUGAUCUCUUCCAUUUUUAGUUUUCUUAUUUCUUUGAUUAUUACUCGCUUCGUUGAAAUGUUUGUUUUUCUGUUGUUUUUUUUUCAAUGUUGCAAUUGUUAGUAUGUUUUGUGUGUGGGGAAAGAGUCAUCGCAAUGAGGAUACAAAAGCUCCCUCUUCUGAUUUAGAGUUGAGGAAAAUUGCUGGCAGAAUCGAACCAUAAAAUCUUAGUCAUCACUGAGUGAUCUCUUUCCCCCUUAAAUUUUGCCUUUUUCUCUUAUACUGAUCAUCAUUGUACCUAUUUUUUUUUCUCUUAAUCUAAUUCGGUUUAUGAAUUAUUAUUACGUUCUGUUUUGAUACCGUUGAGGUCAGUGAUGAAUUCAAUUUGCCUACAUUGGCUGAGUGAGUAUCUGGUUUUAUUAUUUUAUGAUGUGUCUUGUCAGUCUGAGACCACUGAAUGUGUAUUUUGAUUUUUGCGAAACACAAAUGGAUUUUUAAUUUUGGA
This is a long non-coding RNA of Glycine soja, 748 nucleotides long. RefSeq lists it as uncharacterized. Lineage: Eukaryota; Viridiplantae; Streptophyta; Magnoliopsida; Fabales; Fabaceae. The record is from RefSeq and is a predicted model, not a curated record. The transcript is spliced from 2 exons.